RNAcentral lists this long non-coding RNA (395 nucleotides) under Anser brachyrhynchus (Pink-footed goose). Its description in RNAcentral is "lncRNA (ENSABRG00000002387.1)". The record is from RNAcentral. Lineage: Eukaryota; Metazoa; Chordata; Aves; Anseriformes; Anatidae.
CAGAAUUCAGCUCAACGAAGGUUAACAAAUGGAAGAUUUAUUUUAAACUUUGUAGACGAAAAAUAGCUGGAUUGGUUUUGUUGGCAAGCUUUACGUAAGACUUUUUGUUUCAUUCAGGUCCUGGUACAAUGUCAGCUAAGGCCUGUGUAAGAGCAACAUGACAGAAGGCUUAGAGCAAAUACCUCCUGGUUUCAAGUUGCAGGGUUAGCCUACCCGUUCCCCCAUUCCACUCCUCCCCUGCACAAGAGCCAGCUACCAGGUGAAGCUACCCCUCUGCUUGUCCUUUCUCCAGAGCAGAGGAGCAAAAGCAGGGCUGCUGCACUGUGGAGAAGGACAAGCUGACCUGCUUCAUUGUUCAGUCUUUGGCCAUAAGCUUCAAGUGCCAGUCCUCUGGG